GCCACGUGAUGAUACCCGGCUAGGGUGACUCGGCCGGCCCGGCUCAGUCCCGGGGCCCCGACCCAUUAACCGGGUCUGUAAUCUUGGCGGGCGCUGCAGAGCCGUGCGCGCUGGCUGUAAGGGCAGACCGACAGCAAGCCCCCGUCGCCCUCGGGGCCAGCUCCGAGCCAGGGACCCGGCAGCUGGGGCUGGGCGACGGGCACAGGGCAAGCCCUGGGGCUCGGGGUCGGGGGCCCGCGGCGGCUCAGCCUGGAGGGUGGUGGCCCCCGAGAGAUGAGCACUCAUCUUUGGUAAUCUGAUGGCU
Small nucleolar RNA from Tachyglossus aculeatus (Australian echidna), 304 nucleotides. NCBI's taxonomy places the organism in Eukaryota, Metazoa, Chordata, Mammalia, Monotremata, Tachyglossidae. The record is from RefSeq and is a predicted model, not a curated record.